This 400-nucleotide unclassified non-coding RNA is filed under the name Leishmania donovani. RNAcentral describes it as "gene:unknown". Lineage: Eukaryota; Euglenozoa; Kinetoplastea; Trypanosomatida; Trypanosomatidae. The record is from RNAcentral.
GCUUUUUUUUAGUAUUAUUUCGCGUUUGUUUGGUUGUCACCCAUCUUCCUUCAGUACUCGAAAGAAGCAUACGCACACAUACAACAGUCCCCUCAAAAAAAAAGAAACAGAAAUCUCUCGAGUCGAAUAAAAAAUGCGCGACCAUGCAUGCGUGCGCUACCGCGGAUGCUGCAGUGAGAGUGAUGCCGAUAGGAAAAGAGCCUGCAUCGCUUUCGCGUCCUUUUCGCAGCCGUCGAAACGUGUCGCGAUGCGACCAUUCGUCUUGCGCGACGAUGACGUGCUCCCGUGGAAACUGCGGGAGGCGACUUUCAUGCGCAGGGGCGUUCGCGUGUUGUGUUUGCUACGUGGGGCAGCCGAAGUACGAGAGGUGAGGUGCUUUUGUGCGUAAGGGGACUUUGAG